UUCUGGCUCAGGAUGAACGCUGGCGGCGUGCCUAACACAUGCAAGUCGAGCGGAGAUAAGUUGAAGCCUAGCGAUUCUUAUCUUAGCGGCGGAUGGGUGAGUAACACGUGGGUAACCUGCCCUGUACUGGGGGAUAACAGCUGGAAACGGCUGUUAAUACCGCAUAUGCGCACGGAGCCGCAUGGCCCUGGGCGGAAAGAUUCAUCGGUACAGGAUGGGCCCGCGCCGGAUUAACUUGUUGGCGGGGUAACGGCCCACCCAAGGUGAUGAUCCGUAGCCGACCUGAGAGGGUGACCGGCCACAUUGGGACUGAGACACGGCCCAAACUCCUACGGGAGGCAGCAGUGGGGGAUAUUGCACAAUGGGGGAAACCCUGAAUGCAGCGACGCCGCGUGAAGGAAGAAGUAUUUCGGUAUGUAAACUUCUAUCAGCGGGGAAGAAGAUGACGGUACCCGCACAAGAAGCCCCGGCUAACUACGUGCCAGCCGCCGC
Molecule: ribosomal RNA, 492 nt
Filed under: uncultured bacterium
Lineage: Bacteria
Description: bacterial SSU rRNA
Rfam family: Bacterial small subunit ribosomal RNA
Source: RNAcentral